RNAcentral lists this transfer RNA (60 nucleotides) under Trichonephila inaurata madagascariensis. RNAcentral's name for it is "tRNA-Arg". It matches the Rfam family "tRNA", at positions 9 to 63 of the family's 71-position model. From Rfam's summary of the family: Transfer RNA (tRNA) molecules are approximately 80 nucleotides in length. Lineage: Eukaryota; Metazoa; Arthropoda; Arachnida; Araneae; Nephilidae. The record is from RNAcentral.
GAGCGCAAUGGAUAGUGCGUUGGACUUCUAAUCCAAAGGUCGUGGGUUUGUAUCUCACCU